UCCAUUACUCGUUUUUGAUGUCUUCGUCAUGGUGAGGAAAACAUCUUACUUGUUAGUUUCGUGUGAUUAUCUAAAAUGUCAGUAACUGGGUUUCCAUCCAAAUGUUAAGCGAAUCUUUUCAAAAUUCGCAAUAAAAGAAAAACAAAUAACGGUGCGCGUUUCCAUCAAGUUGUUUGAGCGAAUGACGGUGAUAUUGGUUACCUAGUAACCAUAAACAAAACAAUUCGUGAAAAAUGGAGACAGGACUGCAUGUAGUCAGAAUGGAGCAAGUUUUAUGUAUUUGCCGUGCAGCUUGUAAUUGUCAAACUGAAUGCUGUGUUUAGAAGAAGGAAUGCAGACUUUUUCAAGAAGGCACAAGCAGGCAGCAAUUAAGGACAUUGCGACGACGUCGAGCCCCAUGAUAAAGACAACUCCAGGGGAAACAACUAGACGAUACAACAUUAUUUCAUCGUCAGUAUGGUGGGACAACCUCCUAGACAGUAUGCUACAAAGAUAUUGAUUUUUGUGAUUUGUUUUUUAAAUUUUACAUGUUUAUUUAGCACAAAUAAUAACAAUUUCCUACAAUUAUA
Long non-coding RNA from Misgurnus anguillicaudatus (oriental weatherfish), 569 nucleotides. RefSeq lists it as uncharacterized. The record is from RefSeq and is a predicted model, not a curated record. Lineage: Eukaryota; Metazoa; Chordata; Actinopteri; Cypriniformes; Cobitidae.